This 522-nucleotide ribosomal RNA is filed under the name uncultured Chlamydiae bacterium. RNAcentral describes it as "bacterial SSU rRNA". It matches the Rfam family "Bacterial small subunit ribosomal RNA", at positions 383 to 896 of the family's 1533-position model. The record is from RNAcentral. Lineage: Bacteria; Pseudomonadati; Chlamydiota; Chlamydiia.
UAGACGAAGCGACGCCGUGUGAACGAAGAAGGCCUUCGGGUUGUAAAGUUCUUUCGCCUGGGAACAAGAAAUAAGGGAUAAUACCCCUUAAAUUUGAGGGUACCAAGUAAAGAAGCACCGGCUAACUCCGUGCCAGCAGCUGCGGUAAUACGGAGGGUGCAAGCAUUAAUCGGAAUUAUUGGGCGUAAAGGGCGCGUAGGCGGAAUUGUAAGUCAGAUGUGAAAUAUCGAGGCUCAACCUCGAUGCUGCAUUUGAAACUACAAAUCUUGAGGGUAGACGGAGAAAACGGAAUUCCACGUGUAGCGGUGAAAUGCGUGGAUAUGUGGAAGAACACCUGUGGCGAAAGCGGUUUUCUAGUUUAUUCCUGACGCUGAGGCGCGAGAGUAAGGGGAGCAAACAGGAUUAGAUACCCUGGUAGUCCUUGCCGUAAACGAUGUAUACUUGAUGUAGUUGGACUCAACCCCGACUGUGUCGUAGCUAACGCGUUAAGUAUACCGCCUGAGGAGUACGCUCGCAAGGGUG